RNAcentral lists this long non-coding RNA (5489 nucleotides) under Manihot esculenta (cassava). RNAcentral describes it as "long non-coding RNA (MESC_LNC007456)". The record is from RNAcentral. Lineage: Eukaryota; Viridiplantae; Streptophyta; Magnoliopsida; Malpighiales; Euphorbiaceae.
UUAGUUUGGAUAGUUUUAAGUCCGUAAUUGCUUAAAUUAUUCAAACACAAGUAACUCUUGGUGUAAAAACUAAGGAAAUUGCAUGAUCUAGCAAUAUCACCAUGCGUUUGGGUAGCUAGAAUUAGGUCUCUCUAUUUCUUAAUGCAAUUGACAGUUGUUAGAUACCAAAGGCCCAAGGACGUUCCUUGGCAACUUGUUGAUUAGUAAUUAAUUAGAGGACGUUCCCUAAUUGAUUUAUGCUUAAGGAGGGAUAUGGUGGUGAGAAGUGUCUUCCAUCUUCAUAACUAAUUUAUUGAAUCAAACAAAAAGGAACAUAAAUAUCAAUGAUCAGUCCCAACAACUGAAGUGGAUCCAAUUCUUCAACUAGAGCUUUUCUCAUUAUUGAAUCUCUUUAUUUUAUUAUUUGCUUUACUUUAUUGCUUUCAGUAUUAGUUUAAUUCAUCAAUAUCAAAACCCCCCCUUUUAUUUUACUUUCAGUUUGUUUACUUUCAGUUUAUUUUCUUGGUCUUAUUAAGGAAAAUAGGUAAGUAUCAAUUCCCUGUGGAUUCGAUCCUUUUGCCACUAUCUACAGUUGUAAAAUUGUUGAUAACCAAAAAGGUUAUUUUUGACCGGCUUCGACAACUGCACAGUAAAAAAUUGGCGCUGUUGCCGGAGAAUUGAUUUAACUAAUUUAUUUUUCUUUCAUGUCCAGAUCUGGACACAAAGAAACUCUGCCUUACAAUCUAGAAAUUGAGCGUACAAUCAAGCGAUUAAGGAAGUAAGUAACCCGACUUUGGGAGCAAGCCACCACCGAAUCUGCCAUAGAGAACCCUGCCAUCGCAGGAACUGAUUCAGAAUCUUCUAAACUUCACCAAAUAGCUGCAGAGAUGGCUGAAAACAAUGUACAACCUGCUGCCCAUGCUGAACCUGCUGUCCAUGAUGAAUUAAUACUAGAAAAUCCAGCAAUGAGGGCACCAAUGCCAAGAGAAAGAACACUGAGAGAGUUGGCAGCCCCUAUAGGUGAUCAAGCACCUCUCUGCAUCACCUAUCCACCAUUGACAGUCCCUUUUGAGCUGAAAACAGGUUUGAUACAUCUACUACCUAAAUUUAGAGGUUUGGAGAAUGAGAAUCCACAUAAGCACUUGAAAGAAUUUCACAGUGUAUGUUCAUCCAUGAGGCCGCAAGGCAUAACUGAAGAGCAUGUAAAACUGAGAGCAUUCCCAUUCUCACUUGAUGAUUAUGCCAAAGAUUAGUUAUUUUACCUACCACCCGGUUCAAUCACCGCAUGGGAUGGUAUGGUUAGAGCUUUUCUGAAUAAAUAUUUUCCAACUUCUAAAGCCAUAGGCAUAAGAAGAGAGAUAUGUGGCAUUACGUAAAAAGAAACUGAAGAUUUGUAUGAUUAUUGGGAAAGAUUUAAGAGAUUGUGUACAAGUUGUCCUCAACAUGACUUUUCAGAUAAAUCACUCAUAGAAUUCUUCUAUGGAGGCUUGCUACCAUCCGAAAGGAAAUUCAUUGAUAUAGCAUGUGGAGGUUCAAUUGAAGAUAGCACCCCUCAAGCAAUUAGAGAGUUGAUUUCAAGACUUGCAGUAGCAUCUAGACAAUAUGGAGAUGAAAAACAACUGCGAAGAGGAGUCCAUGAGGUAAGUACAUCUGUUCUAGCUUCUCAAAUUUCUGAACUAACCUCUGCUAUGAAAAGUCUUGUCAUAGGUCAAGCCCAACAAGCUUAAAAACUUCAGCAAGCUAGAUCAUGUGGGAUAUGUGCACAUGUAGGACACCCAACUGAUCAAUGUCCUACACUUCAUGAGGAUGACCAGCAAGUAAAUGCAAUUGGAGGAUUCAAUAGUUAGCCAAGACAUGAUCCCUACUCUAACACCUACAAUCCAGGUUGGAGGGACCAUUCGAACUUCAGCUAUGCAAGGGCUUACAACUACCAGAACUACCAAAGAAAUCCAGCACCUCCAAGUCCUAAUAUGCACCUUGAGGAGAUGAUGAAGACAUUGGCAAAUUCUGUUCAAAGCCUCCAACGGCAGAUGGGUCAAAUAGCCACCUUAGUGAGCAAGCUUGAAUCUUAAGGUAAGUUACCUUCCCAAACCAAAGCUAAUCCCAGGCAAAAUGUAAGUACUAUUAUGUUAAGAAGCGGGAAAGAGCUUCAGGAUGUCAAGGCUGAUGAUGGAAGUUCACAAGUGCAAAGACAAGCAGCUGAAGAAAAACAGCCAGAAGACUGUUUGUCCAAACCAACUGGUCAAACAGAACCAGUACACCAACAUAAUACAAAUUAGCAAGUAAGUUUCAAGAUUCCACCUCCCUUUCCAAAAAGGUUUGAAAAAUCACAAAAAGAAAAAGAAGAAAGAGAGAUCCUUGAAACCUUCAGAAAAGUGGAGAUCAACAUACCCUUGCUAGAUGCAGUGAAACAAAUUCCUAGGUAUGUAAAAUUUUUGAAAGAACUGUGCACUAAUCGAAGAAAGCUUGCUAAGAAAGAAAAGGUAAGUGUAGGUGAAGUUGUGACAGCUGUCAUAAAGAGAGAACUCCCAGCUAAGUGCAAAGAUAAAGGGAUGUUUGCUGUUUCUUGCAAAAUUGGCAAUGUGGGCAUCAAAAAGACCAUGUGUGACUUAGGUGCAUCAAUUAAUGUUAUGCCUCUUUCUAUUUAUAAUUUUUUGAAUGCAGGUACACUUAAAGACACUAGAAUAGUAAUUCAAUUGGCUGAUAGAUCUGUAGUGUAUCCAAAAGGAGUUCUGAAAGAUGUUCUAGUGCAAGUAGAUCAACUUGUCUUUCCAGCAGAUUUCUAUGUGAUUGAUAUGAAGGAAGACAAUAGCAACACUACUUCAGACAUCCUACUUGGACGACCUUUCUUGAGCACAGCCAGAACUAAGAUAGAUGUGCAUGGUGGCACAUUGACCAUAGAAUUUGAAGGGGAAGUAAAAAAAUUUAAUGUUUAUGAUGCUAUGAAAUAUCCCCAUGACAUGUCCCCUGUUUAUGGUCUAGAUAUCAUUGAUUGUUUGAGCCAAGAAGUUUUUGAUAUGAAUCAAGAUGAUAUGCUAAACAAUGACUUUUGCAGGGAGGCUAGCCAAAAAGAUGAAGAAGCCAAAAGGAGCCAAAACUGAUAGCAACAGUCUGCUGCAUUAAGCAGAUGGACUACGACCAAGCACAGACUGACCAUGCGCACAAGGAACAAGUGGAAGUCAAAUCGCCCAAAGCAAAGGAGCAUGCGGAACAAUGUCUGCCCAAGCCACCAGAUAAGGCAGAAUCUUGUCUGCCUAAACAGAAGCCCUUCAUGCGUCAACUUCCAAAAUCUGAAGAAAAUGAGAGUGAUUCCUAUGAACAAAUCUUUCAUGCCCAAACUGAUAAACCAUGGUAUGCAGACAAAAUAAAGAAGAGUGCAAAACACUGUGUUUGGGAUGAACCACACCUGAAACCAUACUAUGAAGGGUUCACAGUGCAAGUAGUAGAAGGAGUUCCACUAAAUCAUCCUCAUCAACUUGCUUAGUGGAUCGCACUACACAAACCACACUAAGGGAGUACUCAGUUUCCUUUGAACUUUAAUAUUUCCAAUAUAUUGAGGACAAUGCAUGAAUUAGGUAUGGGGGUGCAUAUCUCUGAAUUUACUUUUAAGUCUUCCAUUCCAUUUUUGCUUUAAUUUUUAGUUUGAAUUGCCACAAUUUGAAUUUUUUUUUUCAUUUUUUGUUAUUUUUGCUUUUAUUGCACACACAUGUAGUCACAGUUUUUUUAUUUAUUUUUGUUUUGGUUUUUUUUACUCAAACUCAUAGGCUAUAUUGAAUGAGCUUUCUUUUCAUGACCCCCUUGAUGUGAUGACUCUUUAAACCUAAAUUGAAUCAAUUGCAGUGAGUUGUAUUCAUUGUUGAAAAUUUUCUUUUGAAUUGAAUUUUUGAGCUUGCCAUGGUGAAAAAUAUAUGACAGUACUCAUUAGAGAGAAUAAUAAAAAAGAUGUGUGAAUAAUGAAACAUGGCUUAUUUUAACAAUUGGUGUUGAUUUGCCAAAUUCAUUGAGAAAGAAAUUCAGCAAAGGCAAAGACCUCAAAAGCACAAAUUGAAAAUUGUUCCAAUGGUCAAAAGACUAUGAAUAGAGCUAGUAGCUACUUGGACAGGUGACCAACUGAGUAACUGGGGGUGGGUAUCACAAAUAUGUACCUUCACGUCAAAAGGUUGGUGACUUUUUCAAGCAAGGAUAAAGUACAAAAAGCUGAAUAAAGUGCUUCAAGUUAAGGGCAAGUAAAUCCGAAAGCUAGAAAAAGUCUUAACUGAACAAGAAUAUGUGUAUAUAUAAUCUCUCUCUUGAGGAAAACAAAUACUAGCCAUGGUAGGUAAAGGGAGACAAGGAAAGAAGGAGAGUAACCUUGGUGCAUACACUCUUCACUACAAUACUUUAAAGUAGGGGUCUAGAGUAAGAGCUUAAGUGGAAAUAAAGGAUCAAGUAGCAAAGAGAGCUUGUUUGAUUAAGUUUAUUUGCUUGAGGACAAGCAAAAAGCUAGGUAUGGGGGUAUUUGAUCAGACUAAAUUUAGACCAUUUUAUUAUGAUGUUAUUAAUGUUAAUUUACACUUUUUCUGCCUAAUUUUGUGGUUUUGAUCUUAUUUUGCAGAAAAUGAUGUAAAUAGGUAAUUUGGUAAAAAUGCUCUUAAAACUGCCUAAAAUGGAACAAAGGAGAACAAGCAUGCCAAGUUGCAGCUGAAGAGGAGAUAAAUAAUGAAAGUACAUUCAACAGAGUAAUUUGAAAUUCAAAUUUCAAAUCUUCAAGAAGCUUAUUUCUUAUUGAGGAAGCCAAAUCUCAAGGAGAUGCAAUUGCCUCUCAAGCAUUCAAAAUUCAAAAUUCAAAAGAGAACAUUCAAAAUUUGAAAUUCAAAAGAAGGCUCCACUUCACAAGGAAACUUAGGGUAACACUUUCAGCCUAUAAAAGCUUCAAGUGCCGCACGCCUCAUCCUCUUCUCCCUUUUCCCAUUCAACCACACAAGUCUCUUCUCCUUCCAAGGCCGUCGGCCACCUUCUCCUUCUUCCUUUCUUUUAUUUUUUGGUUUUGUUUCAGCAAUGAAUGGCUAAAACCCCUUUUUUUCUAGUUGAAGAUUAGGUGAAACUUUGGUUGUUUUAUGGAUUGGGAGAUCUGAACAUACAUUGUUUAUCUUUUGUUUUUCAAUAUUUAUGCAAUUUUAUACUUAAUUCCAUUGUUGCUUUGUGGUUUAGAUCAAUAAGGCCAAUUGAUUCUUGAUUGCAAGGUAAUAAUUUGUUAGUUUGGAUAGUUUUAAGUCCGUAAUUGCUUGAAUUAUUCAAACACAAGUAACUCUUGGUGUAAAAACUAAGGAAAUUGUAUGAUCUAGCAAUAUUACCAUGCGUUUGGGUAGCUAGAAUUAGGUCUCUCUAUUUCUUAAUGCAAUUGACAGUUGUUAGAUGCCAAAGGCCCAAGGACGUUCCUUGGCAACUUGUUGAUUAGUAAUUAAUUAGAGGACGUUCCCUAAUUGAUUUAUGCUUAAGGAGGGAUAUGGUGGUGAGAAGCGUCUUCCAUC